Molecule: ribosomal RNA, 484 nt
Filed under: uncultured bacterium
Lineage: Bacteria
Description: bacterial SSU rRNA
Rfam family: Bacterial small subunit ribosomal RNA
Source: RNAcentral
GAUGAACGUUGGCGGUGUGCCUAAUACAUGCAAGUCGAACGGAGUUAAUAGCAAUAUUGACUUAGUGGCGAACGGGUGAGUAACGCGUUGGUGAUCUGCCUCAAAGUGUGGAAUAACGUUCCGAAAGGAACGCUAAUACCGCAUGUGCUCUCGAUUUUUUAGAAAGUUGAGAGUAAAGGAUUUAUUCGCUUUGAGAGGAGCCUGCGUCCCAUCAGCUAGUUGGUAGGGUAAUAGCCUACCAAGGCGAUGACGGGUAGGGGACCUGAGAGGGUGGCCCCCCAAAUGGAACUGAAACACGGUCCAUACACCUACGGGUGGCAGCAGUAGGGAAUAUUAGUAAUGGGCAAAGCCUGAACUAGCAACGCCGCGUGUGCGAAGAAGGCCUUGGGUCGUAAAGCACUUUUUGAGAGGAUGAGGAAGGACGGUACUCUCAGAAUAAGUCUCGGCUAACUACGUGCCAGCAGCCGCGGUAAGAGUGUGUGUA